GGUGUAGGGUAUUACCUAUAGGGUGUAGGGUAUUAGUAUUAGCUGUGGGGUGUAGGGUAUUAGUAUUAGCUAUAGGGUAUUAGUAUUAGCAUAAGGGUGUAGGGUAUUAGUAUUAGUAUUAGCUAUAGGGUGUAGAGAAUUAGAAUUAGCUAUAGAGUGCAGGGUAUUAUUAUUAGCUAUAGGGUAUUAGUAUUAGUACUAGCUAUAGGGUGUAGGGUAUACGUAUUACUAUUAGCUAUAGGGUAUACGUAUUAGUAUUAGCUAUAGGGUGUAGGGUAUUCGUGUUAGUAUUAGCUAUAUGGUGUAGGGUAUUAGUAUUAGCUAUAGGGUGUAGGUUAUUAGCUAUAGGGUGUAGGGUAUUAGUAUUAGCUAUAGGGUGUAGGAUAUUAGUGUUAGCUAUAGGGUGUAGGGUAUAAGUAUUAGUAUUAUCUAUAGGGUGUAGGGCAUUAGUAUUAGCUAUAGGGUGUAGAGUAUUAGUAUUAGCUAUAGGGUGUAGGGUAUUAGUAUUAGCUAUAGGAUGUAGGGUAUUAGUAUUAGCUAUAGGGUGUAGAGUAUUUGUAUUAGUAUUAGCUAUAGGGUGUAGGGUAUUAGUAUUAGUAUUAGCUGUUGGGUGUAGGGUAUUAGUAUAGUAUUGGCUAUAAGGUGGAUGGUAUUAGUAUUAGCUAUUGGGUGCAUGGUAUUAGUAUUAGAUAUAGGGUGUAUGGUAUUAGUAUUAGUAUUAGCUAUAUGGUAUUAGUAUUAGCUAUAGGGUGUAGGAUAUUAGUAUUAGUAUUAACUAUAGGGUGUACGGUAAUAGGUAUUAGCUACAGGGUGUAGGGUAUUAGUUUUAGUAUUUGCUAUAGUGUGUAGGGUAUUAUAUAUUAUAAUUAGCUAUAGGAUGUAGGGUAUUAGUAUUAGCUAUAGGAUGUAGGGUAUUAGUAUUAGCUAUAGGGUGUAGAGUAUUUGUAUUAGUAUUAGCUAUAGGGUGUAGGGUAUUAGUAUUAGUAUUAGCUGUUGGGUGUAGGGUAUUAGUAUAGUAUUGGCUAUAAGGUGUAUGGUAUUAGUAUUAGCUAUUGGGUGCAUGGUAUUAGUAUUAGAUAUAGGGUGUAUGGUAUUAGUAUUAGUAUUAGCUAUAUGGUAUUAGUAUUAGCAAUAGGGUGUAGGAUAUUAGUAUUAGUAUUAACUAUAGGGUGUACAGUAAUAGGUAUUAGCUACAGGGUGUAGGGUAUUAGUUUUAGUAUUUGCUAUAGUGUGUAGGGUAUUAUAUAUUAGAAUUAGCUAUAGGAUGUAGGGUAUUAGUGUUAGCUAUAGGGUGUAGGAUAUCAGUAUUAGUAUUAGCUAUAGGGUGUAGGGUAUUAGUAUUAGUAUUAGCUAUUGGGUGUAGGGUAUUAAUAUAGUAUUAGCUAUAAGGUGUAUGGUAUUAGUAUUAGCUAUAGGUGUAGGGUAUUAUUAUUAGUAUUAGCUAGG
Molecule: long non-coding RNA, 1446 nt
Organism: Oncorhynchus tshawytscha (Chinook salmon)
Lineage: Eukaryota; Metazoa; Chordata; Actinopteri; Salmoniformes; Salmonidae
Source: Ensembl